Molecule: ribosomal RNA, 438 nt
Filed under: uncultured bacterium
Lineage: Bacteria
Description: bacterial SSU rRNA
Rfam family: Bacterial small subunit ribosomal RNA
Source: RNAcentral
CACAUGCAAGUCGAACGGUAAGGCCCUUCGGGGUACACGAGUGGCGAACGGGUGAGUAACACGUGGGUGAUCUGCCCUGCACUUCGGGAUAAGCCUGGGAAACUGGGUCUAAUACCGGAUAGGACUCCUGGCUUCAUGGUUGGGGGUGUAAAGCUUUUGCGGUGUGGGAUGGGCCCGCGGCCUAUCAGCUUGUUGGUGGGGUAAUGGCCUACCAAGGCGACGACGGGUAGCCGGCCUGAGAGGGUGACCGGCCACACUGGGACUGAGAUACGGCCCAGACUCCUACGGGAGGCAGCAGUGGGGAAUAUUGCACAAUGGGCGCAAGCCUGAUGCAGCGACGCCGCGUGAGGGAUGACGGCCUUCGGGUUGUAAACCUCUUUCAAUAGGGACGAAGCGCAAGUGACGGUACCUAUAGAAGAAGGACCGGCCAACUACGUG